Molecule: ribosomal RNA, 253 nt
Filed under: uncultured bacterium
Lineage: Bacteria
Description: partial 16S ribosomal RNA
Rfam family: Bacterial small subunit ribosomal RNA
Source: RNAcentral
UACGUAGGGUGCAAGCGUUGUCCGGAAUUAUUGGGCGUAAAGAGCUCGUAGGCGGUUCGUACGUCGGCUGUGAAAUCCCGAGGCUCAACCUCGGGUCUGCAGUCGAUACGGGCGGACUGGAGUACUGCAGGGGAGACUGGAAUUCCUGGUGUAGCGGUGAAAUGCGCAGAUAUCAGGAGGAACACCGGUGGCGAAGGCGGUUCUCUGGGCAUUACCUGACGCUGAGUGCGCGAAAGCCAGGGGAGCAAACGGG